CCGCCCCCGCCGCUGGCGACGCAACGGGCGGAGCCUACACUCAGGCCCUCGCCGGGCUGGGAGCCUGGGCCGUGGCCCCGCCCCUACUAGGCAAGAUUUAGAGGAGAAGCCACAGCAGAAGGCGUCCUGUCCAUAAGGGGCUGAAUUUAUCAGAAGCUAUUGCUCGUAUUCCGUUGUGUGGAUACCAUAAGCUGAUUGCCCAUUCACCUGUUGCUGGACGAUACAUUGUCCUGGUUUGGAACUAUUAUAAUAGAAUGGUCUCAUCAGUCUUACUGCACCAGAAUUUCCACUGCACGUUCAUCUCAAAGAUUGCUUUCGGCAUCUUCCUUCUAGCUCUGGCUGAGGCCUGACCUGCAGCAAGGUAAUUAAUAUUUUAGAGGGCACCACAGCAUCAAGAACUCGACACAGAUAUGAGCUUCGCAGCGACUGUGGGAAGCACAGCAGCAACUCAGGGGAGGCGAACUUGAGAGCUGACCCUCACUCGCCUGCCCCUGCUCUGCGCACCUACAAAUGUCCCUUAGAGAGCGCUGCCCUUGGACCGACCCUCUGUCUGCCUUCUCCACAUUAUGUAACAGAUUUUCAUCUCUAAACGCCGGAGGCAUCCGCAGCUGAACCCUGCGAGAGACUUUGAGAAAGGUGUACGCACACCGAGCCAGGAGCAGCCAUCUCCCCGUCUGUGUCCCCUCCUCACCUGUGUGCACAGAACAGAGCUGUACAUGACUGCGGACACGCGCGUAGUCCCCAGGGAACCUGUUGCUAUGUUUGCAGAAAUUAAGAUUUUCCAAUCCUAUUAGCAUGUUUCAUAUUUCUGGAUUUCUGAUAUUUGCAUAAUUCAAGCAAACAGUGCACACACUUAAUAUGAUAUGGCGUCUUAUUUAGACAAAAAGCUGUCAUAAUGGAAGCUGAAUUAGUGACAUUUUAGGAUAGAAAAGAAACUAAAAGUAUACAUAUGAGUGAUUAGUUGGCUUUCUCUUCUGUUCUGGUGCUCUCAUCUUACACAUACAUACGUAUUCUACUGUAUUAACAGAAGGAUGGAAACAGUGGUCUGCUCUCCUUUACAUAAAACAAAUCUGCUUUUAAAAAUACGUCAAUACUGUAAAUAAUGGUGAUUGCUACUUAGAGAAAUAUUAUUUUUCAUUAUUUCAAUAAGUGAAAAUCUCAGGUAAAAGAACAUUCAACUUAUCUUUGCUUUUGAAGUAUUUUAAGCUAUCUCGAUCAUAAUUUGCAAGAUUUCCUUGCUUAUUCCCAGGACUGCUUCUCAAUGUUUUUGUGAUGAUUCAGCCACGAACUAGGAUCUGAAAGUUAAGCAUAUAUUAGGAUUUAAAUAGGAAAAUGAUUAGUAAAUUCCCAGUUUCUAUUCUUCUGUAACAAGAUAAAAAUGUUUAUUACUCCAUUGAUGACUUUUACUUUCUUGUUUGAAAUAUUUAGUAAGAAAGACUAAAAUCAAUUCCAAUGGUAACAAAAGUUUAAUUUCUUUAAGGCAGAAUCACAAAAUUUAUUUGCUGAAAAAUAGGAGUAUUAUUUGAUAUCUUUGUGUGUAUGUGAGAGAGAGAGAGAGACAGAAAGGGACAGACAGAGUCAGAAACAGAGAGACAGAGAGGACAAUUAGUAUAUUUCAUACCCAUAAAAUCUUUUAAGAGCAAAAUAUACAUCUCAAACAAUACUUAAUGAAUUAAAUGAAAAUCUCGCAAUUCACAGUGUUCAGUCACAUGAAAUCAGUGUAGAGGUUUUUUUUUUAUACUUACAAGAAAGAAAAGUGCUUUAAAUAUCUUAACAUAGCACAACUUGUAGCGAGUAUAUAAUUUGUGAAGUAAUUGGGUAAUUAAUUGAAAAAGAUGUUGAUCAGUGUACGAGGCAAAUUUUUCAAAAUUUGCAGUCCUAUGGCA
Molecule: long non-coding RNA, 1886 nt
Organism: Fukomys damarensis (Damara mole-rat)
Lineage: Eukaryota; Metazoa; Chordata; Mammalia; Rodentia; Bathyergidae
Exons: 5
Source: RefSeq, a predicted model, not a curated record